UACGUAGGGGGCAAGCGUUGUCCGGAUUUAUUGGGCGUAAAGAGCGUGUAGGCGGCCAGGUAGGUCUGCUGUGAAAACUCGAGGCUCAACCUCGAGAUGUCGGCGGAAACCAUCUGGCUAGAGUCCGGAAGAGGAGAAUGGAAUUCCCGGUGUAGCGGUGAAAUGCGCAGAUAUCGGGAAGAACACCCGUGGCGAAGGCGGUUCUCUGGGACGGUACUGACGCUGAGACGCGAAAGCGUGGGGAGCAAACAGG
RNAcentral lists this ribosomal RNA (253 nucleotides) under uncultured bacterium. RNAcentral describes it as "partial 16S ribosomal RNA". It matches the Rfam family "Bacterial small subunit ribosomal RNA", at positions 524 to 776 of the family's 1533-position model. The record is from RNAcentral.